RNAcentral lists this ribosomal RNA (385 nucleotides) under marine copepod environmental sample. Its description in RNAcentral is "SSU rRNA". It matches the Rfam family "Eukaryotic small subunit ribosomal RNA", at positions 587 to 972 of the family's 1831-position model. The record is from RNAcentral. Lineage: Eukaryota; Metazoa; Arthropoda; Copepoda.
AGCUCCAAUAGCGGAUAUUAAAGUUGAGGUGGGGAAAAAGAAAGAAGAGGGACCUCGGAGGACGGAGGGGGGUUCGGAGGAAGGAGUGCCAAAGCUCUAAAGGCCGUGGUUGUGCCAGAGGUCUCGGGGUGCUCUUAACCGAGUGUCCUGCGAUGCUGGCAGGUUUACUUUGAAAAAAUUAGAGUGCUCAAAGCAGGCUUUUACGCCUGAAUAUUCGUGCAUGGAAUAAUAGAAUAGGAAGUCGUUUCUAUUUUGUUGGUUUUCGGAAAUCGACUUAAUGAUUAAUAGGGACAGUCGGGGGCAUUUGUAUUCAAACGACAGAGGUGAAAUUCUUGGACCGUUUGAAGACAAACUACUGCGAAAGCAUUUGCCAAGAAUGUUUUCA